RNAcentral lists this non-coding RNA (24 nucleotides) under Arabidopsis thaliana (thale cress). The record is from RNAcentral. Lineage: Eukaryota; Viridiplantae; Streptophyta; Magnoliopsida; Brassicales; Brassicaceae.
UAAAAUGCAAUAUAUGUUGGUGAA